Molecule: ribosomal RNA, 446 nt
Filed under: uncultured bacterium
Lineage: Bacteria
Description: bacterial SSU rRNA
Rfam family: Bacterial small subunit ribosomal RNA
Source: RNAcentral
CCAGACUCCUACGGGAGGCAGCAGCGAGGGAUAUUGGUCAAUGGGGGAAACCCUGAACCAGCAACGCCGCGUGAGGGAAGACGGUUUUCGGAUUGUAAACCUCUGUCCUCUGUGAAGAUAAUGACGGUACCUGACUAAGAAGCCCCGGCUAACUACGUGCCAGCAGCCGCGGUAAUACGUAGGGGGCAAGCGUUAUCCGGAUUCACUGGGUGUAAAGGGAGCGUAGACGGCGACGCAAGUCUGGAGUGAAAUGCCGGGGCCCAACCCCGGAACUGCUUUGGAAACUGUGCAGCUCGAGUGCAGGAGAGGUAAGCGGAAUUCCUAGUGUAGCGGUGAAAUGCGUAGAUAUUAGGAGGAACACCAGUGGCGAAGGCGGCUUACUGGACUGUAACUGACGUUGAGGCUCGAAAGCGUGGGGAGCAAACAGGAUUAGAUACCCCAGUACG